Molecule: transfer RNA, 64 nt
Filed under: Yuukianura szeptyckii
Lineage: Eukaryota; Metazoa; Arthropoda; Collembola; Poduromorpha; Neanuridae
Description: tRNA-Gly
Source: RNAcentral
UUAUGUUUAAUAUACAUCUAAUAUAUUUAACUUCCAAUUAAAAUAUCUCGUAAGAGAACAUAAA